GACGAACGCUGGCGGCGUGCUUAACACAUGCAAGUCGAACGGAAAGGCCCUGCUUUUGUGGGGUGCUCGAGUGGCGAACGGGUGAGUAACACGUGAGUAACCUGCCCUUGACUUUGGGAUAACUUCAGGAAACUGGGGCUAAUACCGGAUAGGAGCUCCUGCUGCAUGGUGGGGGUUGGAAAGUUUCGGCGGUUGGGGAUGGACUCGCGGCUUAUCAGCUUGUUGGUGGGGUAGUGGCUUACCAAGGCUUUGACGGGUAGCCGGCCUGAGAGGGUGACCGGCCACAUUGGGACUGGGAUACGGCCCAGACCCCUACGGGAGGCAGCAGUGGGGAAUAUUGCACAAUGGGCGGAAGCCUGAGGCAGCACCGCCGCGGGCGGAUGACGGCCUUCGGGUUGUAAACCGCUUUCGCCUGUGACGAAGCGUGAGUGACGGUAAUGGGUAAAGAAGCACCGGCUAACUACGUG
Molecule: ribosomal RNA, 467 nt
Filed under: uncultured bacterium
Lineage: Bacteria
Description: partial 16S ribosomal RNA
Rfam family: Bacterial small subunit ribosomal RNA
Source: RNAcentral